Molecule: ribosomal RNA, 1665 nt
Filed under: Triticum aestivum (bread wheat)
Lineage: Eukaryota; Viridiplantae; Streptophyta; Magnoliopsida; Poales; Poaceae
Description: partial small subunit ribosomal RNA
Source: RNAcentral
AUGUUAGCCUACAUGUCCACCGCCGUUCACGAGAAAGGACAACAUCCACCAGCCCUGCCCUCACCCCACAAGGCAACGAGCCGUCCACGAGCGGAGCUCCCCCAAAUUCCUCGUCCUCUGACAAUGACGGUUCCCACGACGCACCGCCGGCUCCUGGCCGCCGUGGUGGCCCUGCUCCUCGUCUUCGCCUCGUCCGGCGCCUUCGCCAUGGCGGGGAUGAGCGGGCCAAUCAAGACGGUGGUGGUGGUGGUGAUGGAGAACCGGUCAUUCGACCAUAUGCUGGGCUGGAUGAAGCGGCUGAACCCAGCGAUCGACGGCGUGACGGGCGCCGAGUGGAACCCGGCAAACACCUCGGACCCCUCGGAGGGGCGCGUCUACUUCGGCGAAGCAGCGCAGUUUGUCGACCCGGACCCGGGCCACUCGUACCCGGAGAUCCGGCAGCAGAUCUUCGGCUCCGACGACGCCACAGGCCCGCCACGGAUGAACGGGUUCGUGCAGCAGGCCCACUCCGUCGGCGGCAUCCACAUGACGGACGCCGUCAUGAACGGGUUCGCGCCCGACAGCGUCGCAGUGUACCGGGAGCUCGUGGCGCAGUUCGCCGUCUGCGACCGAUGGUUCGCAUCCGUGCCGUCGGCCACCAUGCCCAACCGUCUCUUCGUCCACUCCGGCACCUCCGCCGGUGCCACGAGCAACAACCCAGUGUCGCUGGCCAAGGGAUACCCGCAGAGGACGAUCUUCGACAACGUCCACGACGCCGGCCUCUCGUUCGGUGUCUACUUCCAGGACGUGCCAACGGUGCUCUUCUACCGCAAUCUGCGCAAGCUCAAGUACAUCCUCAACUUCCACCACUUCCACAACGCGUUCCGGGAGCACGCCCGCUGCGGCUCCCUCCCAAACUACGCCGUCGUCGAGCAGCGGUACAUGGACUCCAAGGAGCACCCAGCCAACGACGACCACCCCUCCCACGACGUCUACCAGGGCCAGAUGUUCGUCAAGGAAGUCUACGAGACGCUCCGCGCCAGCCCCCAGUGGAACGAGACGCUCAUGAUCCUCACCUACGACGAGCACGGCGGGUUCUUUGACCACGUGCCCACGCCGGUCGACGGCGUGCCUAGCCCCGACGAUAUCAUCGGGUCGCCGCCAUAUAACUUCGCGUUCAACAGACUGGGUGUGCGCGUCCUGGCCAUCAUGAUCUCCCCGUGGAUCGAGAAGGGAACAGUUGUCCACGGGCCGAACGGAAGUCCAACCCCAACAUCACAAUACGAGCAUUCAUCGAUCCCCGCGACCGUAAAGAAACUAUUCAACCUGACACAGGAUUUCCUAUCCAUCGUUCCAUUUGCAUAUGUAGAACAACUCCCGAUGCCGAAGAGGAUCCGGCAGAUGGAGGCGAAUGAGGAGGCAAAGCUAAGCUCGUUCCAGCAAGAGAUCGUGCAGCUGGCUGCGGUGCUGAAUGGGCACCACCGGCUAAGCAGCCUGCAGGAAAGGAUCAAGGAGAGAAUGAACGUGAGGGAAGGAACCUCCUACAUGAGGAGCGCCAUGAGGCGGUUCUUCGAGGCCAGCAUGUCGGCCAAGAAGAUGGGUGUCACUGACAGUGAGCACAUCAUCAAGAUGAGGCCCUCCCUCACCACAAGGACCUCCUCCUCCGCCCAAGAUGAUCGUGUGUAG